RNAcentral lists this microRNA precursor (92 nucleotides) under Paramuricea clavata. Lineage: Eukaryota; Metazoa; Cnidaria; Anthozoa; Malacalcyonacea; Plexauridae. The record is from RNAcentral.
CUUCCAAAGUUUGCAAAUUUUGUAUACUUUUGUAUUGCAAUUUUCGCAUGCAAUACAAAAGUAUACAAUAUUUGCAAACUUUGCAAGGCUAU